AGAGCGAACGCUGGCGGCGUGCUUAACACAUGCAAGUCGAACGCGCAGCAUUCUGUAGCAAUACAGGGUGUGGGCGCGUGGCGAACGGGUGCGUAACACGUGGAUAACCUUCCUUGAGGUGGGGAAUAACCCAGUGAAAAUUGGGCUAAUACCGCAUAACAUCGCGAUGGCACAUGCUGAUGCGAUCAAAGGCGGCAAGUCGCCACAAGAGGGAUCCGCGGCCGAUUAGCUUGUUGGCGAGGUAAUGGCUCACCAAGGCAAUGAUCGGUA
Molecule: ribosomal RNA, 270 nt
Filed under: uncultured bacterium
Lineage: Bacteria
Description: partial small subunit ribosomal RNA
Rfam family: Bacterial small subunit ribosomal RNA
Source: RNAcentral